Molecule: transfer RNA, 77 nt
Filed under: Serratia symbiotica
Lineage: Bacteria; Pseudomonadati; Pseudomonadota; Gammaproteobacteria; Enterobacterales; Yersiniaceae
Description: transfer RNA Isoleucine
Rfam family: tRNA
About the family: Transfer RNA (tRNA) molecules are approximately 80 nucleotides in length. Their secondary structure includes four short double-helical elements and three loops (D, anti-codon, and T loops).
Source: RNAcentral
AGGCUUGUAGCUCAGUUGGUUAGAGCGCACCCCUGAUAAGGGUGAGGUCGGUGGUUCAAAUCCACUCAGGCCUAUCA